UAAUACCGGAUAGAUCAAAGAAACUGGAAUGUUCUCUGAUCGAAAGCUCCGGCGCCCAAGGAUGGGUCUGCGGCCUAUCAGGUAGUAGUGGGUGUAACGUACCUACUAGCCUACGACGGGUAAGGGUUGUGAGAGCAAGAGCCCUGAGAUGGAUCCUGAGACAUGAAUCCAGGCCCUACGGGGUGCAGCAGGCGCGAAAACUUUACACUGCGGGAAACCGCGAUAAGGGGACCCCGAGUGCCAGCACCUAGUGCUGGCUGUCCAGCUGUUCAAAUAACAGUUGUUAGCAAGGGCCGGGCAAGACCGGUGCCAGCCGCCGCGGUAACACCGGCGGCCCGAGUGGUAGCCGUUAUUAUUGGGUUUAAAGGGUCCGUAGCCGGCCUAUUAAGUCUCUUGGGAAAUCUGGCGACUCAAUCGUCAGGCGUUC
This 427-nucleotide ribosomal RNA is filed under the name uncultured archaeon. Its description in RNAcentral is "bacterial SSU rRNA". It matches the Rfam family "Archaeal small subunit ribosomal RNA", at positions 147 to 575 of the family's 1478-position model. The record is from RNAcentral.